Molecule: ribosomal RNA, 119 nt
Filed under: Salmo salar (Atlantic salmon)
Lineage: Eukaryota; Metazoa; Chordata; Actinopteri; Salmoniformes; Salmonidae
Source: RNAcentral
GCUUACGGCCAUACCAGCCUGGGUACGCCCGAUCUCGUCUGAUCUCGGAAGCUAAGCCGGGUCGGGCCUGGUUAGUACUUGGAUGGGAGACCGCCUGGGAAUACCAGGUGCUGUAAGGA